Molecule: ribosomal RNA, 254 nt
Filed under: uncultured bacterium
Lineage: Bacteria
Description: partial 16S ribosomal RNA
Rfam family: Bacterial small subunit ribosomal RNA
Source: RNAcentral
UACGGAGGGUGCAAGCGUUAUCCGGAUUCACUGGGUUUAAAGGGUGCGUAGGUGGGUUGGUAAGUCAGUGGUGAAAUCUCCGGGCUUAACCUGGAAACUGCCAUUGAUACUAUCAAUCUUGAAUACCUUGGAGGUGAGCGGAAUAUGUCAUGUAGCGGUGAAAUGCUUAGAUAUGACAUAGAAACACCAAUUGCGAAGGCAGCUCACUACACGGUCAUUGACACUGAGGCACGAAAGCGUGGGGAUCAAACAGG